GGGCGGCGCCCAUGGCGGCUGCGAACGCGGCGCCGGCCGACUCGGUGCCUCCAGGGUCGGGGGUCUGCGGCGCCUUGAGCAGUCACGCCGACCCCGGGGGCCGGGGCCUCGGGUCCGUGCCCCUCUGCGGGGCGGCUGGCCAGAACAGAGGAAACACUGUUUUGGAGAAGAAUCCUUUACCCACCUGGAAUUUAACACUGAUUCUGCAAGCCCACCGCCCCUGGGCUGCCGGGUCCAGCUGUACUCGCUUCCUGCCCUCCAGCACCCCCAUGCUCUUCCAAGAUGCCGGCUGUCCUCAUAUUUAUUUUUCCAUUUGAACUUAUUAAAUAAGUGCUGUCAAGAUCAAAAUAAACUCAUGAAAUGCGGGUAGGAAUUACAUUUAAAGAUUAAGGGAAAGUUGAUAACUUACCCAACUAGGGAUCUAAUACUUUUUUAUUCAAAUGUUAUAUUUUCAUAUUAAUCCUUUGCAUCCUGUUAUGUUUAUUAUCUAUUGUUUUAUAGUUACUACAUUUUAAGCUGUUGUGCAUGUUAUCUGUCUUUGUUAUUGUGAAUAGGAGAUUGUAUUUUCAAACUUUA
Molecule: long non-coding RNA, 576 nt
Organism: Leptonychotes weddellii (Weddell seal)
Lineage: Eukaryota; Metazoa; Chordata; Mammalia; Carnivora; Phocidae
Source: RefSeq, a predicted model, not a curated record